Molecule: ribosomal RNA, 217 nt
Filed under: uncultured bacterium
Lineage: Bacteria
Description: partial 16S ribosomal RNA
Rfam family: Bacterial small subunit ribosomal RNA
Source: RNAcentral
UAACCUGCCUCUUAGCGGGGGAUAACUAUUGGAAACGAUAGCUAAUACCGCAUAAAAGUCGACAUUGCAUGAUGUUGACUUGAAAGGUGCAAUCGCAUCACUAAGAGAUGGACCUGCGUUGUAUUAGCUAGUUGGUGAGGUAACGGCUCACCAAGGCGACGAUACAUAGCCGACCUGAGAGGGUGAUCGGCCACACUGGGACUGAGACACGGCCCAG